Molecule: ribosomal RNA, 479 nt
Filed under: uncultured bacterium
Lineage: Bacteria
Description: partial 16S ribosomal RNA
Rfam family: Bacterial small subunit ribosomal RNA
Source: RNAcentral
GAUGAACGCUAGCGGGAGGCCUAACACAUGCAAGCCGAGCGGUAUUGUUUCUUCGGAAAUGAGAGAGCGGCGUACGGGUGCGUAACACGUGUGCAACCUGCCUUUAUCUGGGGGAUAGCCUUUCGAAAGGAAGAUUAAUACUCCAUAAUAUAUUGAACGGCAUCGUUUAAUAUUGAAAGCUCCGGCGGAUAGAGAUGGGCACGCGCAAGAUUAGCUAGUUGGUGAGGUAACGGCUCACCAAGGCGAUGAUCUUUAGGGGGCCUGAGAGGGUGAUCCCCCACACCGGGACUUGGACAACGACCAGACUCCUACCGGAGGCAGGCGUGGGGAAUAAUGGGCAAUGGGGUGAAGGCUUAAACCGCCAACCCGCGUGAAGGACGACCGCCCUAUUGGUUUUAAACUUUCUUUGGAUAGGGAAUAACCCACCCUCGAGAGGGUAGCUGAAGGUACUAUACGAAUAAGCACCGGCUAACUCCGUG